This 494-nucleotide ribosomal RNA is filed under the name uncultured bacterium. RNAcentral's name for it is "partial 16S ribosomal RNA". It matches the Rfam family "Bacterial small subunit ribosomal RNA", at positions 28 to 507 of the family's 1533-position model. The record is from RNAcentral.
GACGAACGCUGGCGGCGUGCUUAACACAUGCAAGUCGAACGGAAAGGCCUGCUUUCCCUUGUGGAUUGCGGGUACUCGAGUGGCGAACGGGUGAGUAACACGUGAGUGAUCUGCCCCCAACUUGGGUAUAAGCCUGGGAAACUGGGUCUAAUUCCCGAUAGGACUGCAGGGUGGUGCCUGUGGUGGAAAACGAUUUUCUAGUGGUUGGGGAUGAGCUCGCGGCCUAUCAGCUUGUUGGUGGGGUAAUGGCCUACCAAGGCGGCGACGGGUAGCCGGCCUGAGAGGGUGGACGGCCACAUUGGGACUAAGAUACGGCCCAGACUCCUACGGGAGGCAGCAGUGGGGAAUAUUACACAAUGGGCGGAAGCCUGAUGCAGCGACGCCGCGUGGGGGAUGACGGCCUUCGGGUUGUAAACUCCUUUCGACCGCGAGGAAGCCACCUGGUUGGAAGGGUGGUGACGGUAGUGGUAGAAGAAGCACCGGCUAACUACGUG